GGUUACAUAGCUCAGUGGUAGAGUGCAUGCUUGGAGUGCAUGAGGUCCUGGGUUCAAUUCCCAGUUCCUCCA
RNAcentral lists this transfer RNA (72 nucleotides) under Camelus bactrianus (Bactrian camel). It matches the Rfam family "tRNA". Rfam says of the family: Transfer RNA (tRNA) molecules are approximately 80 nucleotides in length. Their secondary structure includes four short double-helical elements and three loops (D, anti-codon, and T loops). RNAcentral also lists the same sequence under 2 other names. Lineage: Eukaryota; Metazoa; Chordata; Mammalia; Artiodactyla; Camelidae. The record is from Rfam by way of RNAcentral.